RNAcentral lists this ribosomal RNA (792 nucleotides) under bacterium ASP50. RNAcentral's name for it is "bacterial SSU rRNA". It matches the Rfam family "Bacterial small subunit ribosomal RNA", at positions 42 to 842 of the family's 1533-position model. The record is from RNAcentral.
AUGGGGCCUACCAUGCAGUCGAGCGGUAGAGAGAGCUUGCUUCUCUUGAGAGCGGCGGACGGGUGAGUAAUGCCUAGGAAUCUGCCUGGUAGUGGGGGAUAACGUUCGGAAACGAACGCUAAUACCGCAUACGUCCUACGGGAGAAAGCAGGGGACCUUCGGGCCUUGCGCUAUCAGAUGAGCCUAGGUCGGAUUAGCUAGUUGGUGAGGUAAUGGCUCACCAAGGCGACGAUCCGUAACUGGUCUGAGAGGAUGAUCAGUCACACUGGAACUGAGACACGGUCCAGACUCCUACGGGAGGCAGCAGUGGGGAAUAUUGGACAAUGGGCGAAAGCCUGAUCCAGCCAUGCCGCGUGUGUGAAGAAGGUCUUCGGAUUGUAAAGCACUUUAAGUUGGGAGGAAGGGCAUUAACCUAAUACGUUGGUGUCUUGACGUUACCGACAGAAUAAGCACCGGCUAACUCUGUGCCAGCAGCCGCGGUAAUACAGAGGGUGCAAGCGUUAAUCGGAAUUACUGGGCGUAAAGCGCGCGUAGGUGGUUUGUUAAGUUGGAUGUGAAAUCCCCGGGCUCAACCUGGGAACUGCAUUCAAAACUGACAAGCUAGAGUAUGGUAGAGGGUGGUGGAAUUUCCUGUGUAGCGGUGAAAUGCGUAGAUAUAGGAAGGAACACCAGUGGCGAAAGCGACACCUGGACUGAUACUGACACUGAGUGCGAAAGCUGGGAGCAACAGGAUUAGUACCGGUAGUCCCGCCGUAAACGAUUCAACUAGCCGUUGGGGAGCCUUGAUCAUAA